This 581-nucleotide ribosomal RNA is filed under the name uncultured bacterium. Its description in RNAcentral is "bacterial SSU rRNA". It matches the Rfam family "Bacterial small subunit ribosomal RNA", at positions 47 to 619 of the family's 1533-position model. The record is from RNAcentral.
UUUAACACAUGCAAGUCGAACGGAAACGAAAAUAGCUUGCUAUUUGGCGUCGAGCGGCGAACGGGUGAGUAACGCGUAGGAAUCUACCCAGUAGAGGGGGAUAGCCCGAAGAAAUUCGGAUUAAUACCGCAUAAUCUCUACGGAGUAAAGAAGGCCUCUUUACAAUGCUUUUACUAUUGGAUGAGCCUGCGUUAGAUUAGUUAGUUGGUAGGGUAAAAGCCUACCAAGGCGACGAUCUAUAGCUGGUUUUACGAGAAUGAUCAGCCACACUGGAACUGAGACACGGUCCAGACUCCUACGGGAGGCAGCAGUGAAGAAUAUUGGACAAUGGGGGAAACCCUGAUCCAGCAAUGUUGCGUGUGUGAAGAAGGUCCGAGGAUUGUAAAGCACUUUCAGUAAGCAAGAAAAAUGUAAAUCUAAUAGAUUUGCAUGUUGACCACUUAUAGAAGAAGCACCGGCUAACUCCGUGCCAGUAGCCGCGGUAAUACGGAGGGUGCGAGCGUUAAUCGGAAUUACUGGGCGUAAAGGGUAAGUAGGCGGUUUAUAAAGUCACAUGUGAAAGCCCUAGGCUUAACCUAGGA